UGCUAUUGCUAGGGGACUGUGGGAGAAAGACUGUGAGUAGAAAAAGAAUGAGAGGAAGAGAAAGAGAAUAGAUCUGAGUCACUACAGUAUCACUCCAUUUUUACUCGAGGGGAGUUACACAGGCAGAGCAGUGAAUCCAGUACAAUACAAAUUGUAAGCUGGCGGGGCCGUCCCUCUGCGUCCGUGUCUGCGGGAUGUCAUGUCUCCUCACAAUUUAGCGUCCCGGGCGUGGCCCUCCUGGCUCCUCCCACCAGGCGACUCGCGGUGUUCCCUCUGCGUCUGCAUCUGAGGGAGGCCACACCUUCUCACUACAAAGUACGAGAACUUUGGGCCAUCUGAUUGUGUUGUGACAACUCUAAGUGAUAAAAGGCACCGGAAUAAUUUCUUCAGCAGUGAAGAGAAACACAGAAUGGAAAUUAUGGAUCUGUAAUGUUUCAGAAGGCGCAAAGCUAGAGAAUACAUGUGGGAAUUUCUGCUUCUUGAAAGAAGGGUUGUGGGGGGUGUUUGUUUGUUUUCUUUUUUUUUUUAAUGAAUUGACCCUGAUAACUAAU
Mauremys mutica (yellowpond turtle) is the source of this 551-nucleotide long non-coding RNA. RefSeq lists it as uncharacterized. The transcript is spliced from 3 exons. NCBI's taxonomy places the organism in Eukaryota, Metazoa, Chordata, Testudines, Geoemydidae. The record is from RefSeq and is a predicted model, not a curated record.